This 199-nucleotide long non-coding RNA is filed under the name Elaeis guineensis (African oil palm). Its description in RNAcentral is "long non-coding RNA (EGUI_LNC015035)". The record is from RNAcentral. Lineage: Eukaryota; Viridiplantae; Streptophyta; Magnoliopsida; Arecales; Arecaceae.
GGUGGACUCUUAACAGUUUGGAAGACAUCUCUGGUUGACGGGUAAACCUUCCACGAAGGAAACUAUUCUCUCAGCACACUGCAUCAUCUCCGACAAGAUUCUCUAGACCAAUCGCAAUGGCUGUUAACUAAUGUCUACGGGCCCAGCGACCACUGCAAGAGAUCAGAUUUUUUCCAUGAAUUAGCAUCCAUUUGGAGUA